CAGCAGCCGCGGGAAUACAGAGGGUGCAAGCGUUAAUCGGAAUUACUGGGCGUAAAGCGCGCGUAGGUGGUUUGUUAAGUUGGAUGUGAAAUCCCCGGGCUCAACCUGGGAACUGCAUCCAAAACUGGCAAGCUAGAGUAUGGUAGCGGGUGGUGGAAUUUCCUGUGUAGCGGUGAAAUGCGUAGAUAUAGGAAGGAACACCAGUGGCGAAGGCGACCACCUGGACUGAUACUGACACUGAGGUGCGAAAGCGUGGGGAGCAAACAGGAUUAGAUACCCCUGUAGUCCCUGUCUCUUAUAA
RNAcentral lists this ribosomal RNA (301 nucleotides) under uncultured bacterium. RNAcentral's name for it is "partial 16S ribosomal RNA". It matches the Rfam family "Bacterial small subunit ribosomal RNA", at positions 509 to 809 of the family's 1533-position model. The record is from RNAcentral.